Molecule: ribosomal RNA, 404 nt
Filed under: uncultured Acetobacterium sp.
Lineage: Bacteria; Bacillati; Bacillota; Clostridia; Eubacteriales; Eubacteriaceae
Description: bacterial SSU rRNA
Rfam family: Bacterial small subunit ribosomal RNA
Source: RNAcentral
GGUGACUAUUCCUCAUUGGUGGAAACCCUGACGCAGCAAUACCGCGGGAGUGAAGCAGGUUUUCGGAUCGUAAAGCUCUGUUAUUGCGGAAGUAAAAAAGAUGGUCCCCAAGAAGAAAGUCCCUGCUAACUACGUCCCAGCAGCCGCGGUAAUACGUAGGGGACAAGCGUUGUCCGGAUUUACUGGGCGUAAAGGGCACGCAGGCGGUUUUUUAAGUCAGAUGUGAAAGGUACCGGCUCAACCGGUGACAUGCAUUUGAAACUGAAAGUACUUGAGUAUUGGAGAGGCAAGUGGAAUUCCUAGUGUAGCGGUGAAAUGCGUAGAUAUUAGGAGGAACACCGGUGGCGAAGGCGGCUUGCUGGACAAAUACUGACGCUGAGGUGCGAAAGCGUGGGGAGCAAACA